RNAcentral lists this ribosomal RNA (406 nucleotides) under Limosilactobacillus fermentum. RNAcentral describes it as "bacterial SSU rRNA". It matches the Rfam family "Bacterial small subunit ribosomal RNA", at positions 399 to 796 of the family's 1533-position model. Lineage: Bacteria; Bacillati; Bacillota; Bacilli; Lactobacillales; Lactobacillaceae. The record is from RNAcentral.
GCGUGAGUGAAGAAGGGUUUCGGCUCGUAAAGCUCUGUUGUUAAAGAAGAACACGUAUGAGAGUAACUGUUCAUACGUUGACGGUAUUUAACCAGAAAGUCACGGCUAACUACGUGCCAGCAGCCGCGGUAAUACGUAGGUGGCAAGCGUUAUCCGGAUUUAUUGGGCGUAAAGAGAGUGCAGGCGGUUUUCUAAGUCUGAUGUGAAAGCCUUCGGCUUAACCGGAGAAGUGCAUCGGAAACUGGAUAACUUGAGUGCAGAAGAGGGUAGUGGAACUCCAUGUGUAGCGGUGGAAUGCGUAGAUAUAUGGAAGAACACCAGUGGCGAAGGCGGCUACCUGGUCUGCAACUGACGCUGAGACUCGAAAGCAUGGGUAGCGAACAGGAUUAGAUACCCCGGGUAGUCA